ACAGAUGCUUUUACAGCUCGCCUUGGCGGGAAGAUCUGGCACAAAUGAAGUAUCUAUAAGGAGCAGCAGAGUCAAGGAAGACACCAGACAAAUGAGUUACACUGUUUUGGACUCCCCAACACAACCCAGCCACCGGCUGAAUGCCACCAAAUUACCUUCUAGUUAAAGGUUUAUGGAGCAAACGAAUCACCUAUUCAAUAUCUGCUUGAAUUUCUGACUCAAAAUACAUCAGGAGCAUGGUCAUAUAAAUUGUUAUUUAUUCAAAUUAUGGAAUAUUAUAAAGCAGUGAAAAACAAGUUAACUAUAACCAGAUGGAAUAACUUUGAAGCCUCAGGGGCUGGAUCCUGACAUGAACCAGACACCUCCAGAAUUCUAUCCCAAGCAAAAGAUUAUUUCAAGGCCAGAACUCACUCCCUGCUGGAGACUGACUACAAGAUCCACUGAGAUUGAUGUGUAACCUGAUUGGGCCCACAGUGAUGCUAGCCCCUUCACCAGAUGGAACAAUAAUUCCAGACAAGCCAUCAGAGCAGAGAGCAGAGAAGAGGAGAAGCAGCUGGAUGUCAGAGACUGCAGUUUGACGUUGGAGAAAAGCAGCUUGACUUCAGAGGGACAGCUUGACAGCAUGGAUUCAGAGAGGAGAAGAUCACCUUCCUGCUCCGUCCCCUUUCCAGCUCCCUUUCCCACUGAGAGCCACUUACACAGGCAAUAAAAUCCUCUGCAUUCACCACC
Long non-coding RNA from Homo sapiens (human), 729 nucleotides. The record is from Ensembl. Lineage: Eukaryota; Metazoa; Chordata; Mammalia; Primates; Hominidae.